This 2761-nucleotide ribosomal RNA is filed under the name Enterobacter hormaechei. RNAcentral describes it as "23S ribosomal RNA". It matches the Rfam family "Bacterial large subunit ribosomal RNA". Lineage: Bacteria; Pseudomonadati; Pseudomonadota; Gammaproteobacteria; Enterobacterales; Enterobacteriaceae. The record is from RNAcentral.
CACUAUCGUUAACUGAAUACAUAGGUUAACGAGGCGAACCGGGGGAACUGAAACAUCUAAGUACCCCGAGGAAAAGAAAUCAACCGAGAUUCCCCCAGUAGCGGCGAGCGAACGGGGAGCAGCCCGGAGUCUGAAUCAGCUUGUGUGUUAGUGGAACGGUCUGGAAAGUCCGACGGUACAGGGUGAUAGUCCCGUACACGAAAACACACUUGCUGUGAACUCGAAGAGUAGGGCGGGACACGUGGUAUCCUGUCUGAAUAUGGGGGGACCAUCCUCCAAGGCUAAAUACUCCUGACUGACCGAUAGUGAACCAGUACCGUGAGGGAAAGGCGAAAAGAACCCCGGCGAGGGGAGUGAAAAAGAACCUGAAACCGUGUACGUACAAGCAGUGGGAGCCUCUUUAUGGGGUGACUGCGUACCUUUUGUAUAAUGGGUCAGCGACUUAUAUUCUGUAGCAAGGUUAACCGUAUAGGGGAGCCGAAGGGAAACCGAGUCUUAACUGGGCGUUAAGUUGCAGGGUAUAGACCCGAAACCCGGUGAUCUAGCCAUGGGCAGGUUGAAGGUUGGGUAACACUAACUGGAGGACCGAACCGACUAAUGUUGAAAAAUUAGCGGAUGACCUGUGGCUGGGGGUGAAAGGCCAAUCAAACCGGGAGAUAGCUGGUUCUCCCCGAAAGCUAUUUAGGUAGCGCCUCGUGAACUCAUCUUCGGGGGUAGAGCACUGUUUCGGCUAGGGGGCCAUCCCGGCUUACCAACCCGAUGCAAACUACGAAUACCGAAGAAUGUUAUCACGGGAGACACACGGCGGGUGCUAACGUCCGUCGUGAAGAGGGAAACAACCCAGACCGCCAGCUAAGGUCCCAAAGUCAUGGUUAAGUGGGAAACGAUGUGGGAAGGCACAGACAGCCAGGAUGUUGGCUUAGAAGCAGCCAUCAUUUAAAGAAAGCGUAAUAGCUCACUGGUCGAGUCGGCCUGCGCGGAAGAUGUAACGGGGCUAAACCAUGCACCGAAGCUGCGGCAGCGACACUAUGUGUUGUUGGGUAGGGGAGCGUUCUGUAAGCCGUUGAAGGUGUGCUGUGAGGCAUGCUGGAGGUAUCAGAAGUGCGAAUGCUGACAUAAGUAACGAUAAAGCGGGUGAAAAGCCCGCUCGCCGGAAGACCAAGGGUUCCUGUCCAACGUUAAUCGGGGCAGGGUGAGUCGACCCCUAAGGCGAGGCCGAAAGGCGUAGUCGAUGGGAAACAGGUUAAUAUUCCUGUACUUGGUGUUACUGCGAAGGGGGGACGGAGAAGGCUAUGUCAGCCGGGCGACGGUUGUCCCGGUUUAAGCAUGUAGGCGGAGGUUCCAGGUAAAUCCGGUACCUUUUAACGCUGAGGUGUGAUGACGAGGCACUACGGUGCUGAAGUGAUAAAUGCCCUGCUUCCAGGAAAAGCCUCUAAGCAUCAGGUAACACGAAAUCGUACCCCAAACCGACACAGGUGGUCAGGUAGAGAAUACCAAGGCGCUUGAGAGAACUCGGGUGAAGGAACUAGGCAAAAUGGUGCCGUAACUUCGGGAGAAGGCACGCUGAUAUGUAGGUGAAGCCCCUGCGGGCGGAGCUGAAAUCAGUCGAAGAUACCAGCUGGCUGCAACUGUUUAUUAAAAACACAGCACUGUGCAAACACGAAAGUGGACGUAUACGGUGUGACGCCUGCCCGGUGCCGGAAGGUUAAUUGAUGGGGUUAGCGGCAACGCGAAGCUCUUGAUCGAAGCCCCGGUAAACGGCGGCCGUAACUAUAACGGUCCUAAGGUAGCGAAAUUCCUUGUCGGGUAAGUUCCGACCUGCACGAAUGGCGUAAUGAUGGCCAGGCUGUCUCCACCCGAGACUCAGUGAAAUUGAACUCGCUGUGAAGAUGCAGUGUACCCGCGGCAAGACGGAAAGACCCCGUGAACCUUUACUAUAGCUUGACACUGAACACUGGUCCUUGAUGUGUAGGAUAGGUGGGAGGCUUUGAAGCGUGGACGCCAGUCUGCGUGGAGCCAUCCUUGAAAUACCACCCUUUAAUGGCUGGUGUUCUAACGUAGACCCGUGAUCCGGGUUGCGGACAGUGUCUGGUGGGUAGUUUGACUGGGGCGGUCUCCUCCCAAAGAGUAACGGAGGAGCACGAAGGUUGGCUAAUCCUGGUCGGACAUCAGGAGGUUAGUGCAAUGGCAUAAGCCAGCUUGACUGCGAGCGUGACGGCGCGAGCAGGUGCGAAAGCAGGUCAUAGUGAUCCGGUGGUUCUGAAUGGAAGGGCCAUCGCUCAACGGAUAAAAGGUACUCCGGGGAUAACAGGCUGAUACCGCCCAAGAGUUCAUAUCGACGGCGGUGUUUGGCACCUCGAUGUCGGCUCAUCACAUCCUGGGGCUGAAGUAGGUCCCAAGGGUAUGGCUGUUCGCCAUUUAAAGUGGUACGCGAGCUGGGUUUAGAACGUCGUGAGACAGUUCGGUCCCUAUCUGCCGUGGGCGCUGGAGAAUUGAGGGGGGCUGCUCCUAGUACGAGAGGACCGGAGUGGACGCAUCACUGGUGUUCGGGUUGUCAUGCCAAUGGCACUGCCCGGUAGCUAAAUGCGGAAGAGAUAAGUGCUGAAAGCAUCUAAGCACGAAACUUGCCCCGAGAUGAGUUCUCCCUGAGACUUUAAGUCUCCUGAAGGAACGUUGAAGACGACGACGUUGAUAGGUCGGGUGUGUAAGCGCAGCGAUGCGUUGAGCUAACCGAUACUAAUGAACCGUGAGGCUUAACCUU